This 497-nucleotide ribosomal RNA is filed under the name uncultured bacterium. Its description in RNAcentral is "partial 16S ribosomal RNA". It matches the Rfam family "Bacterial small subunit ribosomal RNA", at positions 28 to 507 of the family's 1533-position model. The record is from RNAcentral.
GAUGAACGCUGGCGGCGUGCCUAAUACAUGCAAGUCGAGCGAACAGACGAGGAGCUUGCUCCUCUGACGUUAGCGGCGGACGGGUGAGUAACACGUGGAUAACCUACCUAUAAGACUGGGAUAACUUCGGGAAACCGGAGCUAAUACCGGAUAAUAUAUUGAACCGCAUGGUUCAAUAGUGAAAGACGGUUUUGCUGUCACUUAUAGAUGGAUCCGCGCCGCAUUAGCUAGUUGGUAAGGUAACGGCUUACCAAGGCGACGAUGCGUAGCCGACCUGAGAGGGUGAUCGACCACAAUGGAACUGAGACACGGUCCAGACUCCUACGGGAGGCAGCAGUAGGGAAUCUUCCGCAAUGGGCGAAAGCCUGACGGAGCAACGCCGCGUGAGUGAUGAAGGUCUUCGGAUCGUAAAACUCUGUUAUUAGGGAAGAACAAAUGUGUAAGUAACUAUGCACGUAUUGACGGUACCUAAUCAGAAAGCCACGGCUAACUACGUG